GGUGAUGAAAUAAUUGAAUUUCUGGGUUAUUAUUUUUUAUUUUAAAAUUUGCACUUUUAUGAUUAAACCUAAAUCAUAAUCUAAAGAUUCUGCAUCCUGGAAAGAUGCUCCACAAAUGAUGAUUGUUUUACAAGUGGGUAUUUGUUAGAAUUAAAUGGUUGCUUUUUCAAGUUUUUGCUGUCUUAGUCACGGUUGUUCUAAAGAUUGUCAUCAAGAUGUUUGAGAAAAUGUCAAAAUGACUCAUUGCCAAAAAAAUUUUUUUUUGGGGUCUUCUCGAUUAUUGGGGCUGUCUUGUCUGAUCUUUUUAUGUGGUUUCUCUGAUCUUACAAACAAUCUAAUGAGAAAGCUCCAAUAAUUUCAUAGAAAAAUUAUUAGAUGGGCAGAAAGAAAAAUGCUGAAGAAUGUAUUACUCCUUUCUCCACAUGCUUUAUUCUAGUUCUGGGGAAGCUUUUGCUUUGCAUGGAAAAUAUUUCAAGGAAAUGUUUGAAAUGGCUCAGAAAUGAAGGGAGGCUGCAUUGACAAAAGCAUCCAAGUCCAAUGGGAUUCCAAGAAAGUUAGGUAACUCUUAUCCAUUUACAAAUGGGAAAUUUAUAUACAUCUCGGGUUAUUAGAAAGUAGAUGUAGAAGGUGCUUAUGGGAUGUAUAGAGUCUCAUUCAAAAAUCUCUGAUGCCACGUCCCUUUAUGUGAAAACUUAGCGGUACUCGAACUUAAUUUUGUCAAUUGCAGAUACAAAAUAUCAUGUUUAUUAUCACCAUUGUUAUAUACUCUGCCAUUACAUAAUUUAAUGGCAACCCCCUUAUCGCAAUAUAAUGAUGUUACUAGACACCACACAACUAACUCAGAGGUAAUUUCUGAACAGUAAAACAACUACAUUUUAUCAAGGAAAGCAGAAAGCUAUUGCAAGGCCACCAUGUGCUAUUGCAUUUCUACUUUGCAAAUUUACCUUUCUUUGCAUCAAUUAUUUCUUUCUUGACAGCUCCAAAUUUUUGGAGAUUUUGUAGACAACAAAAUAAUCACAAUAUACAUGAACCCAUGCUUAUUACUGCUUUUCUUUUAUUGUCUCCCAUCUCUCUCUCUCGUGCUCUUAACGUUACUGUGUUGUCAUUGUUUUGGCAUUAUUUAUGCAUGUGCUUGACUUUACUUUCCAUUUUGGGUAAUUUGUGUCAACGUCAGAAAAGACUUUGUUAUUUGACAAUAAAAAUUUUUACUAGUUUAUAUCACUACUGAUUUAAGUGAUUUUUAAAUUAAUAGUUACAAUUUAAUGAUAUAUUACAAUAUGGAAUCUGUUAGGACUUUAGUCUCUAAAUACAUAUAUUUAUAAUACAACUUCAAAUCUAUGUAGAUUAGCUUUGAAAUAUACUUUAACUAACAAUAUUGUGGAGAAGUUUAACCAUAUAUCACAUUCUUGCAGUAAGGGAAAAGAGUCCGAUAUAUGGGGUCCAAACUAUGACCUCAAUUUUAAGGCAGGCAACAAAAAACUACUGAAAAUUUGAAAAUAGUAAGGUUAGGGAUUCGAAUCCCAAUUAACGUGACAUUCAUUUAUUGGAUAGUAGAAUAUUAAUUUUACCAAUUAUGAAAUUCACUAUCCACUAAAUGACACAUAACAGUUAGAAAUCAACUGUUGGGAUUUUUAACAUUAUUGAUUUGGGGAACUACUAAUACAUAUUAAAAACUCAAGGCCUUAAUUUUUUCCCUAAAAAAGGGGAUUAAUCUCGGUAAAAAAAUUCAUGAAUAAUAGGGAAAUGGGUAGAGUUAUUUGAACCCACCAAAUUACUCAAUUAAAUCCACGUUUGAAUAUAAUUUUUAAUUAUUAAAAAGCCCCUAAAAAAUUUUACAAUUUUGAAUAAUAAAAUGUAUAGAAUAAUAAAUCGAAAAGUAUUAGGUUGUAGGAGUUCAAAUUAUGUUCAUACGAAAAUGUCAAAUCAAAAGAUAUUUGUCUAGAUAAAGAAUACUGAACAAAAUAUAAAUUUGUAGUUUAUUGCAAUUGACAUUUUGAUUAUUAGUUUUCUUAUAUUCUCAAAAUUUGUUAUGCAAAAAAUAUCUGUGCUACAAAAUACAAUAUGAGUCCUAACUAAAGUCCCAAAAAAAAAGAAUAAAAAUUCAUGAUGAGUAACAUCAUUAUCGUGUGAUAGGCAUAUAUGGUAUAAUAGCGUUCAUGUACUUUAAUAAAAUGUGGUAGAGUGAUUAUCUGGUGAGGGUUCUUUCACUUUAUUAAAGUGGAGGAAUGCUAUUACAUCAUACGAUGUACCAAUAUAAUGCCUAUUACAUUGUUGAAAAGUCAGCAACCGCCAGCCAAAGCCAACUUUGCAACAGUUAGCAUGCAAACUUUGGAGAAGCAAAAUCAAAUUGAAUUUGUAAGCCGAAAAGAAAGAAUGGAAAAAGGGGAUGGAUUUGAAAAUAAUAAUAAUUAUUUAUUAUAUUUUCAAUUAUUUUAUUCUUUGCAUAGUAAUUCAUUUCUCCUAUAAAUAGCUAAGGAUUUCAUUCAUUUGAUAUCAUCCCAAAAUUGUUAAGCUUAUAAGUUUCUAAGCUUUUGAGAGAAGUGAGAGAAGUGUGUCUGGGGAAUUUCUCUUUCCUGCAAAGUGUGAGAGUACUGGGUAUAUUUGGGUUUCUAGGAAGUGAGAUUCGUUACUCAAAUAUUGUACUCUAUUAAUUGUUAAAUAAACAAUUAUUCUUUCUUGCCGUCGUGGAUGUAGGUUUAAUUACCGAACCACGUAAAUUCUUGUGUCCUUUAUUUUUCAGUAAUUAUUUGGUGCGCUUGAUUCCGCAUUCCACGCACAACAAGUAAUUAUUUAGUGCGCUUGAUUCCGCAUUCCAUGUACAACAUGUGGUAUCAGAGCCGAUGGUUCGUACUUGGGGGGAUACGGUACUGUACAUGUAUACGGUAAUAUUCCCGUAUAUGGUACUGUUCACAUACGGUACUGUUUACGAAUACGGUGGAGACGGUCAUUUGAACUUAGGAGACAGUCUAUUGUAAGUAGCGUGUAUUUUUGCAUGUCUAGGAAAGUUCUGUCAAAAAAGGCGAUAAGAGUCUAAGGAUUCUGGUUUUUAAUUGGGACUGAGUUCCCGUCCAGUUUCCUGGGAACUUUUCUGGUGCAUUUAUUCACGCGAAAUUAACAUCAUAGAGACUGUUUUUCAAGUGGAAAUAGUUCGUUGAGAAAAUGGUAGAAGGUGAAACUUCCAGAAUUAGGGAGAGAUUUACCGAGACUAUUUCAAGAGACACUUCAGGUGGGAGGCGAGAUUUGUCAAAUCGCUAUUCAGCACCUGUUAUAGAAGGCCAGAAGAUCGAUGUUGAAAAGUUUGAUGGGAAAAUCAACUUCGGCAUGUGGAGGCGCGAAGUUAUGGAUGCCCUUAUUCAAAUCGAUCUCGAUGUUGUUCUGAAAAAUAAAAGACACUUGUGUGAUGAAGAAAUUUGGGAUCGUAUGAACGAAAAAGCUUGUGGUCGGAUCAGAUCUUGUUUGACCAAGGAGGUGAAAUACUUGGUGAAAGAUGAGGAGUGUGCGGUGACUUUGUGGCGUACAUUGGAGGAGAAGUACCUGGAGUCCUGAAAAUCGCCUUCAUGCGAUGAGCCAAGUAUAUGGUUUUCGAAUGAAGCCUGAGGUGUCAAUGCAUGAUCAUGUUUCAAGAUUUGAAAAGUUACUUGCUGAUUUGAAAAAUCUUGAUGAAGAUAUUAAGGAUGAAGUCAAGGCUAUGAUUCUGUUACACUCACUACCAGAGGAAUAUAGCUAUUUUGUGACUACUUUGAUAUAUGGGAAGAGUGUGAUCGUCUUUAAAAAUGUUUGCACAACAUUGACUAGCUUGGAGAUUCGAAAUAAUGAUAAAAAUACUGAACGAGUAUCAUCUGAAGCUUUGGUGAGCAAAGAUUGGGCGAUGGAGAAACAGAAAAAGCGUGGUGGAAAGAAUUCUCGAUCCAAAUCGAGAGGCAGAAAUAUAGCUCGAGAUGAGUGUGCCUUUUGUCAUGAAAAUGGCCAUUGGAGGAAAGAUUGUCCAAAAGCUCAAAAGAGAGAUGGGAAGAAACCAGCAGCAGCAAACAUGGCACGGAAAGAUGAGAGCUCUGAUUAUUCACUAAGUAUUACUCCUGCAGCAUAUGUGGCUAGUUCGAGCGAGUGGAUACUUGAUACUGGAGCAACCUAUCAUUUGUGUCUUAUUAAGGAAUGGUUUACAGAUUUUCAUAAUCUGGAAUCCGGUGCAGUUGUGAUGGGGAAUAAUCAACCUUGUCACACAAUGGGGAUAAGAACAAUUCGGCUCAAAAUAUUUGAUGGAAUGGUCAAAGAACUCAAAAAUGUUAGAUUUGUUCCAGAGAUAAAGAAAAAUAUAAUUUCUGUGGGUGUUUUGGAAGCUAAAGGUUACAAAGUUACCAUUAAAGAUGGCACAAUGAAGUUUACACAUGGGGCUAUGGUGAUUCUGCAAGGGGUUCGGCGUCACAAUCUGUACUAUUUGAAGGGAGGUACAACUGAUGAAGCAAAUGUUGUUGAGGCGCACAGUGACACCACCAAGCUAUGGCAUGUACGACUGGGACAUGCUGGAGAGAAGUCUUUGCAAACUCUGAUGAGACAUGGACUCUUAAAAGGUAUCAAAACCUGUAAAUUAAAUUUCUGUGAGCAUUGUAUAGUAGGCAAGAAAACAAGGGUCAAGUUUGGUACAGCAAAUCACGAUACUCGUGAGAUCCUUGAAUAUGUUCAUAAUGAUGUAUGGGGACCAACCAAGACUGCAUCAAUUGGUAGAAGCCAUUAUUUUGUUAUAUUUAUUGAUGAUUUCUCUAGACGUGUAUGGGUAUACACCAUGCAAGUAAAGGAUGAGGUUCUAGAGAUUUCGUGAAAUGAAAGAAAUUGGUAGAGACUCAAAAUGGCAGAAAGAUCAAAGUAUUACGAUCUGAUAAUGGGGGUGAAUAUGCUUCUGAUCCAUUCUUGCAAGUGUGCCAGAACGAGGGUAUUAAAAGACAUUUAACGGUGAGACAUACUCCGCAACAGAACGGUGUGGCUGAGCGUACGAAUCGUACUUCACUGGAAUUUUACAUGCAUUUUUGAAUUUGAAUGUCACGUGCAUGACUUUUCAACAAUUCUCCACCUCGGCGAAAAUUUGUCUAAAUUUGAGCCGACUACCAACGAACCCUCAUUCCCCCAAAGUGAUCCUUCAAUAAGGAUCCAAAAUGGUUGUGUCGAUUUAACUGCCUACGUACCCAAAAUUUGGGAUCAAGCCAACCAUAGUUCAUAAUUCCCGAAGGACAUAUCUUAACACAAUCGAAGGAUUUGAAUUAAUUUCAAGUAAUGUUGAAAUUUAACUCCAGAAACUACCUUCGUCAACAUAUCUGAUGGAUUAUCUUUGGUAUCGAUCUUCUUCAACAACACUUCACCGCUCUCGAUAAUCUCCCUCACAUAAUGAUAUUUCACAUCUAUGUGCUUCGUCCGAGCGUGAUAUGUUUGAUUCUUCGCAAGGAAUAUCGCACUUUGAUUAUCACAGAAGACCGCAAUGUUCUCCUGGAUUACUCCCAAAUCACCUAACAAGUCUUUCAACCAGAUAGCUUCCUUUACAGUUUCAGUUGCUGCCACGUACUCUGCUUCCGUAGUGGACAGAGCAAUUGUCGAUUGUAGAAUCGACCUCCAACUAACCGGACCUCCACCCAAUGUGAAUACGUAGCCCGUUGUUGAUCUUCGCUUGUCAAGGUCUCCAGCGAAAUCAGAAUCACAAUACCCAACACAUUAUUGACCAAUAUCCUUCUUGAACAAUAACCCAACAUCAACUGUCCUAUACAGAUAUCGAAGAAUUCAUUUUACCACAAGCCAUUGACUUUUACCCGGAUUGUGCAUGUAUCUACUAACCAUGCUCACUGCUUGAGAUAUAUCGGGCCUUGUGCAUACCAUAGCAUACAUAAGACUACCCACAGCACUAGCAUAUGGAACACGAUCCAUGUAAUCGCGCUCCUCUUGAGAUUUAGGACAUGAAGAAGAGCUUAAUUUGAAAUGAGGUGCUAGAGAUGUACAUACCGGUUUAGUUUUGUCAUCCAUACCGAAUCGUUCUAGCACUCUCUUCAAAUAAGACUUUUGAGUCAACCAUACGCUCCCAUUCUUCUUGUCUCUACGAAUCUCCAUCCCAAGUAUUCUCUGUGCAUCACCCAAGUCUUUCAUCUCGAACUCAGAAGCCAAUUGCUUCUUUAAUCUUUCGAUCUCAUCUCUAUUCUUCGAAGGUAUAAGCAUAUCGUCGACAUAGAGUAACAAAUAGAUGAAAGCUCCAUCUGGUAGUCUUUUAAAGUAAACACAAUGAUCGUGUUCACUUCUCCAAAUCUCCAUGUAAGAACGUCGUCUUAACAUUCAAUUGAGUCAACUCUAACUCAUAUUCUGCAACUAAGGCAAGUAGGAUACGAAUGGAAGUAUGUUUUACAACUGGAGAGAAAACUUCAUUGUAGUCAAUACCUUCCUUUUGAGUAAAACCUUUUGCCACGAGUCUUGCCUUGUAUCGAGGAGUUUUUUUAUUUGGAGAUCCUUACUUUUUGGUGUAGACCCAUUUAUUGCCAAUAGCCCUUUUCUCCUUUGGUAACUUUACAAGUUCCCAAGUCUGGUUUUGAUGGAGAGACUUCAUCUCUUCCUCUAUGGCUAACGUCCACUGAUCACUUUCACUGCUGCGUAAUGCUUCACCGAAAGUGUUGGGGAUGUCAUCAUCAAUAACUGGAAGUGCAUAGGCUACCACCAUAUCUUUAGUAAGCCAUUCGGGUUUCUUUAUGUCUCUUCUUGGCCUCCUUGUUGCUAUAAAAUCAUCAUUAUCUACAUCAUCAAUUGUUUCUUCAUUUUGUGGGAUAUUAGGAAAAGCAACAUCUUCUUCAACUCUAGGUGUCACCUCUAUAGUUGAACUAUUCUUUGAUGUAGAACUAACUGGUACAUAUGGAGUUGCAUCAAACUCCACCCGCUGUAAUACCUCUUUGGUCUUGUUCUCCACCUGCUAAGAACUUGAAGCUUUCAUCAUUGAAGCUUCAUCAAAUGUGACAUCUCUGCUACACACAAACUUUUUGUCUUCGAGAUCCCAAAGCUUGAAGCCCUUUACUCCACCUUUGAAUCCCACAAAGAUAGUUUUUCUAGCACAAGGAUCCAGUUUACCAUCUUUGACAUGAUAAUAAGCUAGACACCCGAAUACACGAAGGGAAUCAUAGUCUUGUGCAUACUUUACAGACCACAUUUCCAUAGGAGUUUUACCUCCAAUUGCAAUAGAAGGCAACCGGUUUACCAAGUGACUUGCGUAACUCACAGCUUCAGCCCAAAAUUUUUUAUCUAAACCAGCAUUAGAUAACAUACACCGUACCUUCUCCAGUAAAGUACGAUUCAUACGCUCAGCCACACCGUUCUGUUGCGGAAUAUGUCUCACCGUGAAAUGUCUUUUAAUACCCUCGUUCUAGCAUACUUGCAAGAAUGGAUCAGAAGUAUAUUCACCCCCAUUAUCAGAUCGUAAUACUUUGAUCUUUCUGCCAGUUUGAGUUUCCACCAAUUUCUUCCAUUUCACGAAAAUCUCUAGAACCUCAUCCUUUGCUCGCAUGGUGUACACCCACACACGUCUAGAGAAAUCAUCAACAAAUGUAACAAAAUAAUGCCUUUCACCAAUUGAUGCAGUCUUGGCUGGUCCCCAUACAUCACUAUGAACAUAUUCAAGGAUCUCACGAGUAUCGUGAUUAGCUGUACCAAACUUGACCCUUGUUUUCUUGCCUACUACACAAUGCUCACAGAAAUUUAAUUUACAGGUUUUGGUACUUUUUAAGAGUCCAUGCCUCAUCGGAGUUUGCAAAGACUUUUCUCCAGCAUGUCCUAGUCGUACAUGUCAUAGCUUGGUGGUGUCACUGUGCGCCUCAAUAACAUUUGCUUCAUCAGUUGUACUUCCCUUCAAAUAGUACAGAUUAUGACGCCGAACCCCUUGUAGAAUCACCAUAGCCCCAUGUGUAAACUUCAUUAUACUAUCUUCAAUAGUAACCUUGUAGCCAUUAACUUCUAAAGCACCCACAAAAAUUAGAUUUUUCUUUAAUGUUGGAAUAAAUCUAACCUCUUUGAGUUCUCUGACCAUUCCUUCAAACAUUUUGAACCGAAUUGUUCCUAUCCCCAUUGUGCGACAAAGUUGAUAAUUCCCCAUCACAACUGCACCAGAUUCCAAUACGUUGAAAUCCGUAAACCAUUCCUUAAUGGGACACAAAUGAUAGGUUGCUCUAGUAUCAAGUAUCCACUCGCUCGAACUAGCCACAUAUGCUGCAGGAGUAAUACUUAGUGAAUAAUCAGAGUCUUCAUCUUUCCGUGCCAUGUUUGCUACUGCUGGUUUCUUCCCAUCUCUCUUUUGAGCCUUUGGACAAUCUUUCCUCCAAUGGUCAUUUUCAUGACAAAAGGCACACUCGUCUCGAGCUAUAUUUAUGCUUCUCGAUUUGGAUCGAGAAUUCUUUCCACCACGCUUCUUCUGUUUCUCCAUCACCCAAUCUCUGCUCACCAAAGCUUCAGACGAUACUCGUUCAGAAUUUUUAUCAUUAUUCUGAAUCUCUAAACUAGUCAAUGAUGUGCAAACAUCUUUAAAGACGAUCACACUCUUCCCAUAUAUCAAAGUAGUCAUAAAAUGACUAUAUUCCUCUGGUAGUGAGUGUAACAGAAUCAUAGCCUUGACUUCAUCCUUAAUAUUUUCAUCAAGAUUUUUCAAAUCAGCAAGUAACUUUUCAAAUCUUGAAACAUGAUCCUGCAUUGACACCCCAGGCUGCAUUCGAAAACCAUAUACUUGGCUCAUUGCAUGAAGGCAAUUUUCAGGACUUUUCACCAGGUACUUCUCCUCCAAUGUACGCCACAAAGUCACCGCACACUCCUCAUCUUUCACCAAGUAUUUCACCUCCUUGGUCAAACAAGAUCUGAUCUGACCACACGCUUUCUCGUUCAUACGAUCCCAAAUUUCUUCAUCAUACAAGUGUCUUUUAUUUUUCAGAACAACAUCGAGAUCGAUUUGAAUAAGGGCAUCCAUAACUUCGCGCCUCCACAUGCCGAAGUUGAUUUUCCCAUCAAACUUUUCAACAUCGAUCUUCUGGUCUCCUAUAACAGGUGCUGAAUAGUGAUUUGACAAAUCUCGCCUCCCACCUGAAGUGUCUCUUGAAAUAGUCUCGAUAGAUCUCUCACCAAUUCUGGAAGUUUCACCUUCUACCAUUUUUUCAACGAACUAUUUCCACUUGAAAAACAGUCUCUAUGAUGUUAAUUUCGUGUGAAUAAAUGCACUAGGAAAGUUCCCAGGAAACUGGACGGGAACUCAGUCCCAAUUAAAAACCUGAAUCCUUACACUCUUAUCGCCUUUGUUGACAGAACUUUCCUAUACAUGCAAAAAUACACACUACUUACAAUAGACUGUCUCCCAAGUACAAAUGGCCGUCUCCACCGUAUUCGUAAACAGUACCGUAUGUGAAUAGUACCAUAUACGGGAAUAGUACCGUAUACGUGAACAGUACAAUUAUCCCCCAAGUACGAACCGUCAGCUCUGAUACCACUUAUUGUGCGCGGAAUGCGGAAUCAAGCGCACUAAAUAAUUACAGAAAAAUAAAGGACACAAGAAUUUACGUGGUUCGGUAAUUAAACCUACAUCCACGGAGGCAAGAAAUAAUAAUUGUUUAUUUAACAAUUAAUAGAGUACAAUAUUUGAGUAACGAAUCUCACUUCCCAGAAACCUAAAUAUACCCAGUACUCUCACACUCUGCAGGAAAGAUAAAUUUCCCAGACACAUUUCUCUCACUUAUCUCAAAAGCUCAUAAACUUAUAAGCUUAACAAUUUUGGGAUGAUUUCAAAUGAAUGAAAUCCUUAGCUAUUUAUAGGAGAAAUGAAUUACUAUGCAAAGAAUAAAAUAAUUGAAAAUAUAAUAAAUUAUUAUUAUUAUUUUCAAAUCCAUCCCCUUUUUCCAUUCUUUCUUUUUUGCUUACAAAUUCAAUUUGAUUUUGCUUCUCCAGAGUUUGCAUGCUAACUGUUGCAAAGUUGGCUUUGGCUAGCGGCUGCUGACUUUUCAACAAUUCUCCACCUCGGCGAAGAUUUAUUCAAAUCUGAGCCGAUUGACAAUGAUCCUCCAAACUUCAUCCCUCAAAAUUAUCCACAUUGGCUGCAUCUAUCCGACUGCCUACGUACCCAAAGGUUGGGAUCAAGCCUGCCGUAGUUCCAAUUCCCGAAGGACAUAUCUUAAAACAAUCAAAGGAUUUGAAUUAGUUUCAAGCAAUGUUGAAACUUAACUCCAGAAACUACCUUCGUCAACAUAUCUGAUGGAUUAUCUUUGGUAUCGAUCUUCUUCAACAACACUUCACCGCUCUCAAUAAUCUCCCUCACAUAAUAAUAUUUCACAUCUAUGUGCUUCGUCCGAGCGUGAUAUGUUUGAUUCUUCGCAAGGAAUAUCGCACUUUGAUUAUCAUAGAAGACCGCAAUGUUCUCCUAGAUUACUCCUAAAUCACCUAACAAGCCUUUCAACCAGAUAGCUUCUUUUACAGCUUCAGUUGCUGCCACGUACUCUGCUUCCGUAGUGGACAGAGCAAUUGUCGAUUGUAGAAUCGACUUCCAACUAACCGGACCUCCACCCAAUGUGAAUAUGUAGCCCGUUGUUGAUCUUCGCUUGUCAAGGUCUCCAGCGAAAUCAGAAUCACAAUAUCCAACACAUUGUUGACCACAAUCCUUCUUGAACAAUAACCCAACAUCAACUGUCCCAUACAGAUAUCGAAGAAUCCGCUUUACUGCAAGCUAGUGACUUUUACCUGGAUCGUGCAUGUAUCUACUAACCAUGCUUACUGAUUGAAAUAUAUUGAGCCUUGUACAUACCAUAGCAUACAUAAGACUACCCACAACACUAGAAUAUGGAACACGAGCCAUACCAGAUGGAGCUUUCAUCUAUUUGUUACUCUAUGUCGUCGAUAUGCUUAUAGCUUCGAAGAAUAGAGAUGAGAUCGAAAGAUUAAAGAAGCAACUGGCUUCUGAGUUCGAGAUGAAAGACUUGGGUGAUGCACAGAGAAUACUUGGGAUGGAGAUUCGUAGAGAUAAGAAGAAUGAGAGCGUAUGGUUGACUCAAAAUUCUUAUUUGAAGAGAGUGCUAGAAUGAUUCGGUAUAGAUGACAAAACUAAACCAGUAUGUACAUCUCUAGCUCUUUAUUUCAAAUUAAGCUCUUCUUAAUGUCCUAAAUCUCAAGAGGAGCGCGAUUACAUGGCUCGUGUUCCAUAUGCUAGUGCUGUGGGUAGUCUUAUGUAUGCUAUGGUAUGCACAAGGCCCGAUAUAUCUCAAGCAGUGAGCAUGGUUAGUAGAUACAUGCACAAUCCGGGUAAAAAUCAGUGGCUUGCGGUAAAGUAGAUUCUUCAAUAUCUGUAUAGGACAGUUGAUGUUGGGUUAUUGUUCAAGAAGGAUUGUGGUCAAUAAUGUGUUGGGUAUUGUGAUUCUGAUUUCGCUGGAGACCUUGACAAGCGAAGAUCAACAACGGGCUACGUAUUCACAUUGGGUGGAGGUCCGGUUAGCUGGAGGUCGAUUCUAUAAUCGACAACUGCUCUGUCCACUACGGAAGCAGAGUACGUGGCAGCAACUGAAUCUGUAAAGGAAGCUAUCUGGCUGAAAGGCUUGUUAGGUGAUUUGGGAGUAAUCCAGGAGAACAUUGCGGUCUUCUGUGAUAAUCAAAGUGCGAUAUUCCUUGCAAAGAAUCAAACAUAUCACGCUCGGACGAAGCACAUAGAUGUGAAAUAUCAUUAUGUGAGGAAGAUUAUCGAGAGCAGUGAAGUGUUGUUGAAGAAGAUCGAUACCAAAGAUAAUCCAUCAGAUAUGUUGACGAAGGUAGUUUCUGGAGUUAAGUUUCAACAUUGCUUGAAACUAAUUCAAAUCCUUCGAUUGUUUUAAGAUAUGUCCUUCGGGAAUUGGAAUUACGGUAGGCUUGAUCCCAACCUUUGGGUACGUAGGCAGUCGGAUAGAUGCAGCCAAUGUGGAUCCUUUUGAGGAUCAUGUGAGGGAUGAAGUUUGGAGGAUCAUUGUCAAUUGGCUCAGAUUUGAAUAAAUCUUCGCCGAUGUGGAGAAUUGUUGAAAAGUCAGCAGCCGCCAACCAAAGCCAACUUUGCAACAGUUAGCAUGAAAACUUUGGAGAAGCAAAAUCAAAUUGAAUUUGUAAGUCGAAAAGAAAGAAUGGAAAAAGGGGAUGGAUUUGAAAAUAAUAAUAAUUAUUUAUUAUAUUUUCAAUUAUUUUAUUCUUUGCAUAGUAAUUCAUUUCUCCUAUAAAUAGCUAAGGAUUUCAUUCAUUUGAUAUCAUCCUAAAAUUGUUAAGCUUAUAAGUUUCUAAGCUUUUGAGAGAAGUGAGAGAAGUGAGAGAAGUGUGUCUGGGGAAUUUCUCUUUCCUGCAGAGUGUGAGAGUACUGGGUAUAUUUGGGUUUCUGGGAAGUGAGAUUCGUUACUCAAAUAUUGUACUCUAUUAAUUGUUAAAUAAACAAUUAUUCUUUCUUGCCUCCGUGGAUGUAGGUUUAAUUACCGAACCACGUAAAUUCUUGUGUCCUUUAUUUUUCAGUAAUUAUUUGGUGCGCUUGAUUCCGCAUUCCGCGCACAACAUACACCACAUAGUGUAAUAACGUUCCCACAUUUUAAUAAAUUUUCGGAACCUGAUUAUGAUAUAUAUAUAUCUUCUCGAGUUUACAAACUUCAUUACUGCUUCAGCAUCAAAAGACUUGGAUAAAAAGUGAACAUGAAAAAUCAUUAAAUUUGAGGGCUAUUAACCAUAGCUUUUGCUGUCUCUACUCUCUAUAUAGAAGGCUAUUAUUGGAUCACAACACAUUAAUCAUAAAAGAGUCACUAAAAUUUGAGUUAUUGUCCUUUGUUUAUUUUACUUGACGGGUGGCUGCUGCCUCCUGUAAUCACAUUAUAAUCUAAUCUGUAGACCAGUGAGAUGCAGUUGCAAAUUCAUCAAAAGUCUCAGCUGAACAAAAAUUUUCAUCACUCUUUGUAAGAUUGAAACUGUUAUGAAAUUGACGAACUAAAACGGUGGCAUUUUUUCUUGUGUUUAAGUGCGCCUGUUACGUGAUUCACUUAAGUCAAGUCCUAGUCAAAUUUCUAUUAUGACAGUUAUUUUGGGCGCGUAUGGCUAAGCAGCGAAAAAAACAUAUCCUUCAUCAUUGCCCGUUGUUCUUCGGGUACAAAUCAAGCCGAGCAUUAAGCUGAGCCACAACAAAUCUUUAUUUAUAUAUAUUUUUAGUUACUUUACGAUAUACGGAACUUGAAUUGAAACUGAAAUAGUAAUGCUCCAAUCAGGGACGUAGCCAGAAAUUUAAUUGAUCUGGAGCACAUUAAAAAUGUAAUAUAAUUUUAAGAAUUUAUAUCACAACACAAAAAAUCACAAUAUAAUACAAUUUGAGAAUAAAUUUUGAAAAUUUAGAUAACAGUAAAUAGAAUCACAAGUGUAAUAUAAAUUAAUAAUAAACUAACUUAUUACAAUUGUUCUAAUCAAGAAUUCCUCGACAGGAUUUCAUGUGUUGAAAAUGCUGUAAAAUAGUUUCAUUAUCAAUGCAAUCAAAUCCAUCUUUUUCAAUGUACACAACUAGGUUAUCAACCAUUCAUCUCCCAUUCGACUUCGUAGUCAAUUCUUCACAUAAUUCAUUGUUGAAAAAACUCUUUCAACAGUGGCAGUGGCAACUGGUAGAAGUAAUGAUAAUGUGACUAAUAAAUAGACCAAUGAAAACACCUUGUGCUUGUUAGUCUCAACCAUUUUCUGUGCAAGAUCACCAAUCCCAUUUAAUUCUGAAAACUCAACACUAGACUGCAUAUCCAUUAUGUAAACAUCAAGUUGAGUAUCUAGUGCCAUGAGAUCAACUUGAGAAAAAUCUUUUGGAUAAAGUUGAGCAAGACGCAAUAACUUUUCUUUAUUGAAAGCUGCAAAUGAAUCUUUUGGUCAUAAACAAUCCAAGCAAAGAAGUAAUUCAGUGUUUACCUCAUUAAAACGACUGUUUAACUCUUGAAGUUGCAUAUCCAAAAUAGCACAAAAUAGGUCAAUGCGAUAAGGAUGCAUAUUUGUGAUCUCUUGCGCUCUACACCUUGAUUUUCGAGGAGUUAGAAACAUAUUUUCCAUGACAGGAACACUAAUAAAAUGCUUCUCACAAAAUGAAGAAACUUGACUAAGCAAAGAAUUCCAUCCAUGUUCCCUCAUCCUCUGUAGACCUAGUUUGCAAAUGCUAACUAAUUUCAUGGAAUUCACAAUAUAUUGAUCUUUCCUUUGUAAUGCUUGUGCCAAUUCAUUUGCAAAACCAAGAACAUUUUUCAUCAAGUAUAAAGUAAACACAAAAUCAAAUGUUUGCAUGAACUUCAAGGUUGAAUUUGCUUCAAAUCUUUGCUCAGAAUUUGAUGCAUCAUUUGCAAUAAUCUCAAGCACAUCAAUUAUGGAUGAGAACAUGGUAAUAAUGCUUAUUAAUGUACCGUAAUGUGAGCUCCACCGUGUGUAGCCAGAACGCUUUAAAGUAAUCUCUUUAUUCAUGCCUUGUCCGCUUUUAAGCUCGCCCGUUUUAAGUGCUUCAAUAACUGCAAUAGCAUGCUUCUCUUUAAGGAUUUCAUAUCGUUUAGACGAGGCUGCAACAAUGUUAAUAACUUUAGCAACUAAAUUGAACAGAUCAUUAACUUCUUGGUGCUUUUUUGCCACAGAAACAAGGGCCAACUGUAAUUGAUGGGCAAAACAAUGAAUGUAAUAAGCUGAUUCAUUCUCUUUUAGAAUGAGUGUUUUCAAACCAUUAAGUCCCCCUUGCAUGUUACUAGCACCAUCAUAUCCUUGCCCACGCAUACUAGACAUGCUUAAUCCAUGUCUAGCAAAUACUGUGUCGAGUGAUGCUUUGAGAGAGAUAGCUUUAGUAUCAAUAACAUGUUCAAUACCAAUAAAACGUUCAACCAUAUGUCCUCUUUUAUCCACAUAACGCAACACAAUUGCCAUUUGCUCUUUUUUGGAUAUGUCACGAGAUUUAUCAAUCAUAACAGAAAAUAAAGAGUCGCCAAUUUCUUUAAUGAUAGCUCUAGAAGUUUCAGCUGAACAAACACUUACAAUUUGUUUCUGAAUAUCAGGGGAUGUCAUUUGGAGAUUUGCUGGAGCACUGUUGAAAAUAACACCUUUAAUUUCCUCAUUGUGAUCAGCAAGAAAUUGUAAAAGCUCAAGAAAGUUUCCUCUAUUAUCUGAGCUUUGAGAUUCAUUAUU
Molecule: long non-coding RNA, 15153 nt
Filed under: Citrus maxima (pomelo)
Lineage: Eukaryota; Viridiplantae; Streptophyta; Magnoliopsida; Sapindales; Rutaceae
Description: long non-coding RNA (CMAX_LNC002448)
Source: RNAcentral